GCGGCGGCGCCCACCUCUCCCUCGACGCCCUCGGCUCGCCCGUCACCUGCGCCGCGUCCGUGAACGGCCUGCGUCGCCGCGGCCGGCACGUCCAGGUCGGGCUGCUGCCCUCGGCCGACGGCACCACACCGGUGCCGAUGGCCCGCGCCGUCGCCCUGGAGCUCGAACUCGCCGGCAGCCACGGAAUGGCCGCGCACACCUACCCGCCGAUGCUGGAACUGGUCCGCGGCGGAGUGCUCCGCCCCGACCUGCUGGUGACGUCCACCAUCGGGCUGGAGGCCGUCCCGGCGGCCCUCGCGGCGAUGGGGACGGCGCCCGGCGCGGGCGUGACGGUCAUCGAGCCGUGACGGGGCGCCCUCGGUCGGCGUCGGGCCGCCCGCGGUGGGCGGCCCACUCGUGGUCGAGGACUGCCGUCAGCACCUCGUCCACCCACACGCCGUCCCGCCACGCGGCUCCGCGCCGCACCCCCUCCACCACGGAACCGGUCUUCUCGUACACCCGCCGGGCCCGGGGGUUGUCUGCGUAGACCUCCGAUUGGACGCGGUGCAGGCCGACCUGGUGGAAGCCGUGGCCGACGAUCAGCCUCGUCGCCUCGCUGCCCAGGCCCCGGCCGCGUCCCCGGGGGCCGAUGAGGGUCCGGAAGGUGCAGCUGCGGGCUGACGGGUCCCACUCGUACAGGACGACCUCGCCGACGAGUUCGCCGGUGGCGCGGUCGGUGACGGCGAGAUCGAGCCGGUCCGGGUCGCCGGUACGCACGCCGUACCAGGAGCGCAGCCGUUCCCGGGUGAGUUCUGUGGUCGGCUCGAAAAUGAAGCGGAUGACCUCGGGGUCGCCGGUGAUCUCCCACAUCGUGUCGGCGUCCUGCCGGGUGAACGGCCGGAGGACGGUUCUCGCGCCGGUCAGGACGGGUUUCACGGAGAAGUCCAUGGGCGCAACCGUGCCCCACGCGACCACGGGACAGCGAACGGAUCGCCGGCCCCGGGGCUACCGCUUCCGGUUGCUGGGGCGGGACGCCACCCAGGCCCGGACCGUGUCCGGGUACCAGUAGGGCUUCCCGCCCUCCACGUGGUCGGGUGGCGGCAGCAGCCCGUGCUUCCGGUACGACCGGACGGUGUCCGGCUGUACCCGGAUGUGAGCAGCGAUGUCCUUGUAGGACCAGAGCCUUCGGUCGGUCACUCGUUGCACCUCCCUGCGCGCACCUCGGCGGCGGCCGGGGACGGCCGCCGGGGGGAGCCGGAUGCCGCGCCGGUGAUCUCCAAGCCUGUGCCGGGUGAACGACGUCGGGUGCGGGGCGGUCAGGGCCCGUUCCGGGGUGUGACGAAAGUCCCGCCUCCGCGUGACAUGUGUGACAGGAGGAGCGUCUUUGUGACACGAGUGCUGCAAUCGCGUACGCCGGAGUUCAGGCGUGGCGCGUUGACUUCCGCUGUGCGGUGUGGGACGCGACGGCGGACGGCUGACUCUCGGGCCAUGUCGUCCGAAUGUCCGGACAAAACAUUGACAGGCCGCACCCGCGGGGCUAGAAACCGGGGGAGACGCGACGGCGCGCAGUGAACGACGGGCACCGAAGGGGGAACGCGAUGGCGCACGACCCGAUCGCCGGGUGCCCGGAGUCCGCGACCGCCGACGCCGGUCCCCCCACCGAACGCCUCCGGCGCGGGGCGGCCGCCUCGCCCUGGCAGGAGCGAGGCGCGAGCGCCGACUCCCCGCUCGCAUCGGCCCGCGCCGGAGGUUCCCGCGUCCCGCAGGGGCGCCGGCCGCCGACACUGCCCCACGUGUCUACGCGGACACCCAAACCGCAGACACAGUGUCGGGCCCGUCCGGAGCGCCCGGCUGCUGGGAUGGACCCAUGGCAGUGACCGCGACCCGAACGCCCCGGACCGCGACCCGAACGCCCCGGACCGCGACCCGAUGGCCGCGGACGGCGCCCCGAUCGUCGCCGGUCACCGCCCGUGAGCUGGACCAACGGCACGUCUCGACCCGUCGCCGCCAUCUGUGAAGGAGUUCUCGGUCAUGACGAACAUCGUCAACCACUGGAUCGGCGGCAAGACCGCCGAAGGCGCCUCGGGCACGUACGGGCCGGUGACGAACCCGGCGACCGGCGCCGUCACCACCAAGGUCGCCUUCGCCUCGGUCGAAGAGGUGGACGCCGCGGUCGCCGCCGCCAAGGAGGCGUACCUGACCUGGGGUCAGUCCUCGCUGGCCCAGCGCACCUCGAUCCUCUUCAAGUUCCGGGCGCUGCUGGACGCCCACCGCGACGAGAUCGCCGAGCUGAUCACCGCCGAGCACGGCAAGGUGCACUCCGACGCGCUCGGCGAGGUCGCGCGCGGCCUGGAGAUCGUCGACCUGGCCUGCGGCAUCAGCGUGCAGCUGAAGGGGGAGCUGUCGACGCAGGUCGCCACCCGCGUCGACGUGUCCUCGAUCCGGCAGCCGCUCGGCGUCGUCGCCGGCAUCACCCCGUUCAACUUCCCGGCGAUGGUGCCGAUGUGGAUGUUCCCCAUCGCCAUCGCCUGCGGCAACACCUUCGUGCUCAAGCCGAGCGAGAAGGACCCGUCGGCCGCGAACAGGAUCGCCGAGUUGCUCGCCGAGGCCGGUCUGCCGGACGGCGUCUUCAACGUCGUGCACGGUGACAAGGUGGCCGUGGACCGGCUUCUGGAGCACCCGGACGUCAAGGCGGUCUCCUUCGUCGGCUCGACCCCGAUCGCCCGCUACAUCCACACCACCGCCUCGGCGAACGGCAAGCGCGUCCAGGCCCUCGGUGGCGCCAAGAACCACAUGCUGGUGCUGCCCGACGCCGACCUCGACGCGGCGGCCGACGCGGCCGUCUCCGCGGCGUACGGCUCGGCCGGCGAGCGCUGCAUGGCGAUCUCCGCGGUCGUGGCGGUCGGCGCGGUCGGCGACGAGCUGGUCGAGAAGAUCCGCGAACGCGCCGAGAAGAUCAGGAUCGGCCCGGGCGACGACCCGGCGUCCGAGAUGGGCCCCCUCAUCACCGAGGCGCACCGAGACAAGGUGGCGUCCUACGUCGAGGGCGCGGCGGCCGAGGGCUGCGAGGUCGUCCUGGACGGCACCGGCCACACGGUCGACGGCCACGAGGACGGCCACUGGAUCGGCAUCUCGCUGCUGGACAAGGUGCCGACCACGGCGAGGGCC
Molecule: ribosomal RNA, 3147 nt
Filed under: Streptomyces mutabilis
Lineage: Bacteria; Bacillati; Actinomycetota; Actinomycetes; Kitasatosporales; Streptomycetaceae
Source: RNAcentral